CACGUAGGGGGCAAGCGUUGUCCGGAUUUAUUGGGCGUAAAGAGCUCGUAGGCGGCUUAGUAAGUCGGGUGUGAAACCUCCAGGCUCAACCUGGAGACGCCACCCGAUACUGCUGUGGCUAGAGUCCGGUAGGGGAGCGUGGAAUGCCUGGUGUAGCGGUGAAAUGCGCAGAUAUCAGGAGGAACACCAGCGGCGAAGGCGGCGCUCUGGGCCGGUACUGACGCUGAGGAGCGAAAGCGUGGGGAGCAAACAGG
This 254-nucleotide ribosomal RNA is filed under the name uncultured bacterium. RNAcentral's name for it is "partial 16S ribosomal RNA". It matches the Rfam family "Bacterial small subunit ribosomal RNA", at positions 524 to 776 of the family's 1533-position model. The record is from RNAcentral.